Molecule: ribosomal RNA, 655 nt
Filed under: Pristimantis viejas
Lineage: Eukaryota; Metazoa; Chordata; Amphibia; Anura; Strabomantidae
Description: partial 12S ribosomal RNA
Rfam family: Bacterial small subunit ribosomal RNA
Source: RNAcentral
GGAGCUGGUAUCAGGCUCGCCCAAGACAUCUAGUUACCCCACACCCUCAAGGGCCUUCAGCAGUGAUCAACAUUAAAUAUUAACGUCAGUUUGAUUUAGUCAACGAAAACAGAGCCGGCCAAUCUGGUGCCAGCCGCCGCGGUUACACCAUGUGGCUCAAAUUGAUUCGGCGUAAAGCGUGAUUAAAGUAGGGUUAAACUCCAACUAAGCUGUAACACGCUUGUUUCCUGAAAAUCAAACCCGAAAGAUACCCUAUACCCAUCCACUUGAACUCACAACAACUAGGACACAAACUGGGAUUAGAUACCCCACUAUGCCUAGUCGUAAACUUUAACUUACACCGCCCGAGAACUACGAGCAAAGCUUAAAACUCAAAGGACUUGACGGUGCCCCAUAUCCCCCUAGAGGAGCCUGUCCUAUAAUCGAUACCCCCCGUUUAACCUCACCACUCUUAGCAGCCUGUAUACUUCCGUCGUCAGCUUACCGCGUGAGCGAGUGAGCCCAAUGCCCAAACGUCAGGUCAAAGUGCAGCUAAUAAAGUGGGAAGAGAUGGGCUACACUUUCUACUGUAGAAAAUACGGAAAUUAUAUGAAACAGAAGGUGGAUUUAGUAGUAANNANNNGAUAGAGUACUCUUUUUAACCCGCACUGAGGCG